Cavia porcellus (domestic guinea pig) is the source of this 1579-nucleotide long non-coding RNA. RefSeq lists it as uncharacterized. NCBI's taxonomy places the organism in Eukaryota, Metazoa, Chordata, Mammalia, Rodentia, Caviidae. The transcript has 3 exons. The record is from RefSeq and is a predicted model, not a curated record.
CCUAGAGGCUCCCCUGUCUGUCUUCUUUUGGAGGUAUGAUUCAUCUGACUGCCUUACCAAGAAUGGAGUGUGGGUUGAAGGAAGUUUUCCUGGUUCAGCUGACCUGUGAUGAGCGAGACAAAAUGAGCAGGAUGGAGGGGCCAGAUCAACCCCAGGUCUAAGCUCUGAAGGAAGAGAGGAUUAAGCCUGACUUUGUCCAGUCGUUACCAGAAAUGAAGAAGAUUCUCCAUUUGCAAGCCUAAACAAGGUCUUCUCCUGGUCACAUGGGACUCUCACCUGGUGAUGUAAGCCAUCUGGCUUCACAAGGAACACAUUCAUCUCUGUUACCAUUACUUGGAUGUACUCACCAACACAAAAGCAAAUGACCCAUCAGAUUUGAGGUUAUGCACAUAUAUAUGAUGGAGCUGGAGUGGCAGCUGUUUCUUAUGGGUGAAAGUUAAAAAAGAUGCUGCCCCUGAGAAGGACUGCUAUAAAGACAGUGUUCCACAUAUGUUUAUCCUCCUGUCUCUGUCUCUCUGUCUCUGUCUCUGUCUCUCUGUCUCUGUCUCUGUCUCUCUCUCCUACCUCCCUUUCCCCCUCUUUUCUCUUCAGCACUUUGGAAGGCUGAAGCAGGGGGAUUACAAGUUCAAACCCAGCCCAGGCAAUUAAGGGAAAUUCUGUCUCACAAGGGCAGGAUGAGCUGGGGAUGCAACUCAUCUUGCCUUUUAACAGGAAGAAAACCUCCAUCCAGCUCUAUUUGCUAUCCUCAGACCCUCUUAAGAACAUGCAGACCUGUCGACCAUGGCAUCUUGACUCUAAAAAGAACUUGCAUGAGAUUUAACAUUUCUAAGUGUACCUAAGUAUACACAUCUCAGGACACUACAACACAAGAUUGGACAAUGCUGUGUUGCAUUUCCUUCAGGCAGGGAGGUCCCCUUUAAAACAAGCCUGAAAGGUGCCUUGUCUAGUGCCUGCCUGGCAAAGCCCUCCUGCCUUAUCCAUUUGCUGGCUGCUAUGUGAAGGGUGCCCUAAUCACCAAGCCAGGAAAAGAGACCCCCCCACCCCCACCUCUACCCAGGAGGGAGGAAAUAGAAAAGAAGUAUUCAGAAACAGUAUUGAUGCAAGGUUCUUUUCAUUGUAUAAUGUGGAUCAAUAAAAUCUGCAAAUAGCAUUUGUUCCUAUAAACCAGGUCUCUCGUUAUAAAAAGGCAACAGGAGAGCCGCAUUGCUGUACAGAGGAGUUAGGCACAGAAUUUCAUACAGAGAUUGUGGAAAAGAGGAUUGUUCUUUCAAGACAGACAAAUUCCAACAAGAAUAACUGUCAUGGGUUAGGCAACAGCGCUUUUACCUUAGAACAAUAUGUUUUUAUGAUUUAGUAAAAAAUAAUUCCACCCUAAUAAGAAUCUGCUCCUGCUUCAGGUCCCUCCAGAGGCUGCGCCACCACUCACAAUCAGCCCUGCCUCUCUGCUGGGUGGGGAGGAGCAGGGGGAACACACAUAUCUUAUUUUUCUCUCUCCUUUCCUCCUUAUUGUCUGGACUUUGAAGUCCGAUGUCAUGUAAACAUUAACUUGCUUCUUAAAUAAAGCCCCCGAGAGCAAACU